Eucalyptus grandis is the source of this 2287-nucleotide RNA transcript. RefSeq lists it as uncharacterized. The transcript has 6 exons. Lineage: Eukaryota; Viridiplantae; Streptophyta; Magnoliopsida; Myrtales; Myrtaceae. The record is from RefSeq and is a predicted model, not a curated record.
CCUAAACUGUUCUAACUGUGUUUUUUUUUUCAACUGAAACCUUCUUAGAUUUUCCUUUUCCCCGAAAAGUAGUUUUCUCAAAGCAAAUUCAUGCUCUCUUCUUUAAGAGCCCUUUAAAAUGGAGCCUCCCGUGAACCUAUACUGAACCAAAACCCCCUCUCAUUGUUAAUCCGCUCCCUGCAAAACCCCACUCAUUUUACCAUGUUUUGCUCAUCCUGAUUCACUCUUUUCCUCUCGCUCCUUUGCCUUUCGACUUCUUCUGCUGAUUUUGCGUUGAAUUCAGCUAAGGCGUUCACUUUCGUAAUAAAGUCCAUCUUUUCCUCAGAGAAGCUCUCAGCUGAGAAGCUUUUAUAUUUGUGUAGCACUCAUGGAGGUCAAAGUAAGUUCGUUAGAGAAGAAAGAAGCAAAUGAAGUUGUCCUUAUGAUUUCAGGCGUUGAAUGUCAAGGCAGAGGUUCUUCACCAAAACCGAACACUGAGCCAAUAGAGCUUGAAAAUCCUCUAUCAAGUUCACAAAUCUCCAAUUUGACAAGCCCCUCUGCUCUGGAGCUCACUCAGUCGAUCCCGACUCCGAGUGAGCUUCUGAAUAUCCAGACCAGAAAGUCCAUCUCAAGCUCUACAAAUGAGAAGCUGAAAUAGAGAUCCAUGGAACCGCCGCAUCCUAGUGAUACAAGUGCUAGUGCAUCUAAGGGCGCUGUGGAACUGGCGCUGAGCAAGUCUCCAGUCGCUUCGGUUCCAUCACCGGCUGUAGAGGAGGAAGACGAUGAGGAUGUGUGCGAGACUGUGAAUCCCAAGUCCCAGGUGAUGUCAGGCAGAAUGAAGUUUAUUUUGGCUCAGCUGGUCAUGUUUGUGUGCAUCACAGUGCUUCUGAUUGCAAGUUUAACCAUUCGUAAUCUGCGAAAUAUAGUUAUUUGGCAUGUGCAUUUGUGGAGAUGGUGUUUGCUGAUGUGGGCAAUCUUUUGUGGCAAGCUGGCGACAGAUUGGUUGGUCACAUUAAUGGUUUGGUUGAUUGAGGAGAAGUAUCUGCUAAAAAAAAAUGUUUUGUACUUUCUAAUUGCAUUAAAGCACAGUGCUGAGGUGUCCCCUGGUUGUGUCUGGUCAUUUUAGCUUGGUUUUUGCUGAUAAAUCAUGGAGUGAAAUGCUCGAGACACACGACCAAGAUUCUGAACUGGGUCGCGAGGGCCCUCUUGUCUUGUCUUGUAGGAGCUGCCUUAUGGCUAAUCAAAUCAGUCCUGAUAACGUCGCUUUGUGUUUCUUUUCAACACAAAAUAUUCUUUAAUCGCGUGCGAGAUUGCUUCUUUCAACACUAUGUGAUAAGGCAACUUUCCGGCCCCGUGGUUCCAAGUCUCAAAGUGAAUAUAGAGAAGCUUAUAAAGAUGAAGCUGGAUAAAGUUUCUCCUUGGAAGAUUAUAAAUCUUGCCGAUUCCCUAGAUGAGGCAGAGCAACGACAUAAGGAGAGGACUGAUGGACAAGAAGCCAAGGAUGCUGCUAAAAAGAUAUUAAAAAACGUAGCCAAGUCAGGGAGCCAGUUUAUCGAGGGGAAUGAGCUUUUGCGCUUCAUGCCGAAGGAACACGUAGAGAAAUUAUUUGCUUUCUUUCCCAAAGCAAAAGAAACUCGAAAAAUCAGGAAGUUGUUUUUCAAGAGCUGGCUGGAUUAUUGACGACGCCAGUGCAAAUCUUCAUUUCGUCGCAGCUUUUGCUUUUUGAGUACAUUUUUGGAACGCUGCCAAAGACUUGCUCGAAGCUAUCUUGUUUGUAUUCGUGAAGCAUCCGUUCGAUGUGGGUGACUGCUGCGUUGUCGAUGGGGUUGAGGUUGAGGAAAUGAAUAUCAUGACUACUGUCUUCCUGACAAACGACGGCGAAAAGAUAUCUUACCCAAAUUCAGCUCUGGCCUCUAAAUGCAUCAGCAAUUUCGACAGGAGCCCGCACACGAGCGAAUCUGUGGAGUUCAUAGUCGAUUUCUCCGCUUCAGACAAGAGCCUUCAAGCUUUGAAAGAUGAAAUAAAAACGAACACAGGAUUAGAAUGGCAAGGAUUGCCCAAGUUCAAGCCAUGGUGAUCAACAGAAAGUGCAAAGUCUCUGAAUUUUUUAUGCGUUCUCCCAACAGAGAGAGAGAUGCAAAGUAUGUGGAAGUGAGAUUAAGAAGUGGAGCUUGUGCUAGAGAAAAGUAAGCUUUCAUGGAGGUCAAUGCAAGUUCGUUAGAGAAGAAAGAAGCAAAUGAAGUUGUCCUUCUGAUUCCAGAGGUUGAAUGUCAAAGAAGAGGUUCUUCACCAAAACCAAACACUGAGC